AUUAGUAUGUCUGAUAAAAGAAUUAUUUUGAUAGAAUAAAAAAUGUAUAUUAAUAUACUACUAAUA
RNAcentral lists this transfer RNA (66 nucleotides) under Dermanyssus gallinae. Its description in RNAcentral is "tRNA-Ile". Lineage: Eukaryota; Metazoa; Arthropoda; Arachnida; Mesostigmata; Dermanyssidae. The record is from RNAcentral.